Molecule: ribosomal RNA, 468 nt
Filed under: uncultured bacterium
Lineage: Bacteria
Description: partial 16S ribosomal RNA
Rfam family: Bacterial small subunit ribosomal RNA
Source: RNAcentral
GACGAACGCUGGCGGCGUGCUUAACACAUGCAAGUCGAACGGAAAGGCCCUGCUUUUGUGGGGUGCUCGAGUGGCGAACGGGUGAGUAAAACGUGAGUAACCUGCCCUUGACUUUGGGAUAACUUCAGGAAACUGGGGCUAAUACCGGAUAGGAGCUCCUGCUGCAUGGUGGGGGUUGGUAAGUUUCGGCGGUUGGGGAUGGACUCGCGGCUUAUCAGCUUGUUGGUGGGGUAGUGGCUUACCAAGGCUUCGAGGGGUAGUCGGCCUGAGAGGGUGACCGGCCACAUGGGGACUGAGAUACGGCGCAGACGCCUACGGGAGGCAGCAGUCGGAAAUAUUGCACAAUGGGCGGAAGCCUGAUGCAGCAGCGCUGCGUGCGGGAUAACGGGUUUCGGGUUGUAAACCGCUUUCGCCGGUGACGAAGCGUGAGUGACGGUAAUGGAUAAAGAAGCACCGGCUAACUACGUG